GUAGCUUGAGGUUUACAGUCAGACAUUAUUUGAGGAGAGUAAGCUCUGAGAUGGUCACCUAGGAACCAAAGCCAUUAAGUCACUCUGUCCCUGGGAAACACUCCCAUGUUCCCUGGGCUAUUUUCCCCCACUGACACUGAAAAGGAUGAAUGCUUGCCUUCCUUCUACUUAUUAAUCAACCCAGGGAACCAUCACUCUCCAAGCAGAAGAGGCCUUCUCGUGGUUCCUUCGGUGGUCCGUGUUCAUAGAGCUGCUCAGAGACUGCCUCCUGUUUAUCCUACAGUAGAAAUAAAGGCUGGGAGAGUCAUCGAUUCUGAAAAUAAUGCACAUACUGCUGGGAACUUAGUUGCUUUCUUACUGAAUGCCCACAUGCAGAGCCUUCCAAAUUGGUAUUGA
Molecule: long non-coding RNA, 396 nt
Filed under: Monodelphis domestica (gray short-tailed opossum)
Lineage: Eukaryota; Metazoa; Chordata; Mammalia; Didelphimorphia; Didelphidae
Description: lncRNA (ENSMODG00000043454.1)
Source: RNAcentral